GGAUUAGAUACCCUGGUAGUCCACGCUGUAAACGAUGAUUACUCGCUGUUGGCGAUAUACUGUCAGUGGCUGAGCGAAAGCAUUAAGUAAUCCACCUGGGGAGUACGGUCGCAAGAUUGAAACUCAAAGGAAUUGACGGGGGCCCGCACAAGCGGUGGAGCAUGUGGUUUAAUUCGAUGAUACGCGAGGAACCUUACCAGGGCUUAAAUGUAGAUUGACAGGACUAGAAAUAGUUUUUUCUUCGGACAAUUUACAAGGUGCUGCAUGGUUGUCGUCAGCUCGUGCCG
RNAcentral lists this ribosomal RNA (287 nucleotides) under uncultured bacterium. RNAcentral describes it as "partial 16S ribosomal RNA". It matches the Rfam family "Bacterial small subunit ribosomal RNA", at positions 775 to 1067 of the family's 1533-position model. The record is from RNAcentral.